Molecule: unclassified non-coding RNA, 263 nt
Filed under: plant metagenome
Description: partial contains small subunit ribosomal RNA, internal transcribed spacer 1, and 5.8S ribosomal RNA
Source: RNAcentral
UUUCCGUAGGUGAACCUGCGGAAGGAUCAUUAUCAAUUAACGGUGGUGUGAGGGUUGACGCUGCAUCGCCAGCUCGUGUGCGACCGUGUGCGCUCUUAUUCACACAUCUCCCUCCUCAGUGCGUUUCUGCUACGGCCGCCGUAGGCCUUGUUGGGAGGGGGGCUUACGUUUUACCCUAAAUUUUGUACGAAUUGUUGUGAGAAUCUAUUGCUAUUGAGAUCUCGAAAUCAAUACAACUUUCAACAACGGAUCUCUUGGCUCUC